UUAUUNNNAUUNNCCUUUUGNGCUANCCCUAUUACCGCCGGUGAUGGCGGUCGAUGUGAAUGAUGCUAGCCCUCCUCCCGCUGGAAAGUGCUUUACAAUUUCUUAGGCCUUCUUCACACACGCGGCAUGGCUGGAUCAGGGUUGCCCCCAUUGUCCAAUAUUCCCCACUGCUGCCUACCGUAGGAGUCUGGACCGUGUCUCAGUUCCAGUGUGGCUGAUCAUCCUCUCAGACCAGCUACAGAUCGCCGCCUUGGUAGGCCUUUACCCUACCAACUAGCUAAUCCGACGCAGGCUCAUCUAAUAGCGCAAGGUCCGAACAUCCCUUGCUUUCCCCCGUAGGGCGUAUGCGGUAUUAAUCCCAGUUUACCCUGGCUAUCCCCCUCUAUUAGGUAGAUUCCUACGCGUUACUUACCCGUUCGCCGUCGACUACUGGGAUCAAGCUACCUUCGUUUUCGCCCGACUUGNAUGUGUUA
Molecule: ribosomal RNA, 473 nt
Filed under: uncultured bacterium
Lineage: Bacteria
Description: partial 16S ribosomal RNA
Source: RNAcentral